AUGAUGUAUGGGCAUGGGAUCGAGGGGUUGGGCUUCUUCCACCUCGAGGUCCCGGACGCCCCUCCUCCGUCGCCCUCCCUUCAGGCGAUUAUCACGGUCGUUGAUGGGGUGGCGUCCCCAGAGAUGAUCGAGGCUGAGCUCAACCACCUCUACCGCCACCAGUGGGACUGGGUGGUCACCCCCACAGCCGGCCACAUCUUCUCCGUCGUCUUCCCCGACUCCGUCAGCUUCGGCUACGCGACGCGUAGUGGCCGGAUCACUCUCGCGCUCAACCAGCUGGUUGUCGAGAUAUCCGAGCCAGUACUCGACGCUCAGGCCGUGGCUGUCCUCGACACCGCCUGGAUCCUCAUCUCCGGUCUCCCCGAUAUUGCACGGUCCGAGCUCGUCAUCCGCCAGAUGUCUCGCCUCUUGGGCAAGGUGGUGGUGGUCAACGAGCUCUCAUUGCAAAAGGAGGAGGUGCGGGUCAAGGUCAAGUGCCUCGACUCCUCCAAGCUGCGCACUUCGGUCCGGGUCUUCUUCAACGACCAGGGCUUCGACCUCAGGAUCGCCCCCGAGCCUCCCAACCACGUUGGGCGUCCCCGCUUCCUCGACGUCGGCCCCCCUGGUGACAACCCGGGGGCCGGCGGAGACUACCACGGCCGCCACCGCUCUCGUUCUCACCGCUCGGAUGAGGAGGGGGCGUCCGAGGACUCCCGCUCCCCAUCCCCCUCGCCCCCCCUCCGUCUGCGGGGGGCAAGGGCCGCCAGGCCGCCUCUCGCCCCCCGGUGGAUGGCCCGCCGAUCUCUGACGUGUCGCCAUCCGAGGGGAGCGACAUCUCCAGUGUGGGCCUGGUGGUCUGCCCGGCCUCCUCCCGCGCUCCCCCACCUCGUCCCCGCCACCUGUGCUGGCCCCGGUCGGCCUGCUCGGCGGCCUGCUCUCCGACUCUUCGGCGGCGCCCGCGGGUGGGGGGACGCCUCCUGUGGUUGUCCCCCCCACUCCGGCUUCGCCUCCCCCCGUCGCCGUCUCCUCCCCGCAGCCUGA
This 1020-nucleotide ribosomal RNA is filed under the name Triticum aestivum (bread wheat). RNAcentral describes it as "partial small subunit ribosomal RNA". The record is from RNAcentral. Lineage: Eukaryota; Viridiplantae; Streptophyta; Magnoliopsida; Poales; Poaceae.